This 81-nucleotide non-coding RNA is filed under the name Anaerosporobacter mobilis. Its description in RNAcentral is "S10-Clostridia ribosomal protein leader". It matches the Rfam family "S10-Clostridia ribosomal protein leader". The record is from RNAcentral. Lineage: Bacteria; Bacillati; Bacillota; Clostridia; Lachnospirales; Lachnospiraceae.
UGAUAGCGUAGAAGCGUGAGGUUGCUGUGCAAGACACAGGUUUUCCGUGGAGCGAAUGUCAAGUUAUAAAACUGGCGACAA